GGGAGUUAUUGAGUUUAACAGUCACUCCUUACCUGGCUUUUCUCUAAGCUAGAAAGGGGGACUUUUGUUCUAUCAUCUUCUGGGAAUAGACUAAUCUUGAGGAAAGAUUAGGAAAGUCCUGGGUGUGGAGAACUGCCUUGGAUAUCUGUCUUUCCCUGAAGUUCUGAGACCAGUCUGGCUGAGACAACUUUGUUAAGGGUGAAAGAGAUUCAUUUGGGACUUUAUUUCUCUUUCCAGAAGAGAAGAGAUGGCCAAACCAUUAUGACUCAUUUCACAGAACAAGGAUUGAAGCAUAUGGAAAGUAAUUACAUUCAAAAUAUGCUAGAAAGUGAUUUCAUGAAUAAAGAUACAUCCCUCUCUACUCAAACUGACAGGCAGAGGCAAAAGAGCCAAAACAGAUUCAACUGACCAGACAACAUGUGAAGGCCUGGAUAGCCAAGCAGGAAGAACAAUAUUGCAA
This 460-nucleotide long non-coding RNA is filed under the name Monodelphis domestica (gray short-tailed opossum). RNAcentral describes it as "lncRNA (ENSMODG00000033463.2)". The record is from RNAcentral. Lineage: Eukaryota; Metazoa; Chordata; Mammalia; Didelphimorphia; Didelphidae.